Molecule: ribosomal RNA, 250 nt
Filed under: uncultured bacterium
Lineage: Bacteria
Description: partial 16S ribosomal RNA
Rfam family: Bacterial small subunit ribosomal RNA
Source: RNAcentral
GUCGGGGGCAAGCGUUGUCCGGAUUUACUGGGCGUCAAGAGCGUGUAGGCGGCCACGCAGGUCCGUUGUGAAAACUGGAGGCUCAACCUUCAGACGUCGACGGAAACCGUGUGGCUAGAGUCCGGAAGAGGAGAGUGGAAUUCCUGGUGUAGCGGUGAAAUGCGCAGAUAUCAGGAAGAACACCAAUGGCGAAGGCAGCUCUCUGGGACGGUACUGACGCUGAGACGCGAAAGCGUGGGGAGCGAACAGG